GACGACGGGUAGCCGACCUGAGAGGGUGACCGGCCACACUGGGACUGAGACACGGCCCAGACUCCUACGGGAGGCAGCAGUGGGGAAUAUUGCACAAUGGGCGAAAGCCUGAUGCAGCGACGCCGCGUGAGGGAUGACGGCCUUCGGGUUGUAAACCUCUUUCAGCAGGGACGAAGCGCAAGUGACGGUACCUGCAGAAGAAGCACCGGCUAACUACGUGCCAGCAGCCGCGGUAAUACGUAGGGUGCAAGCGUUGUCCGGAAUUACUGGGCGUAAAGAGUUCGUAGGCGGUUUGUCGCGUCGUUUGUGAAAACCAGCAGCUCAACUGCUGGCUUGCAGGCGAUACGGGCAGACUUGAGUACUGCAGGGGAGACUGGAAUUCCUGGUGUAGCGGUGAAAUGCGCAGAUAUCAGGAGGAACACCGGUGGCGAAGGCGGGUCUCUGGGCAGUAACUGACGCUGAGGAACGAAAGCGUGGGUAGCGAACAGGAUUAGAUACCCUGGUAGUCCACGCCGUAAACGGUGGGCGCUAGGUGUGGGUUCCUUCCACGGAAUCCGUGCCGUAGCUAACGCAUUAAGCGCCCCGCCUGGGGAAGUACGGA
Molecule: ribosomal RNA, 601 nt
Filed under: Nocardiaceae bacterium
Lineage: Bacteria; Bacillati; Actinomycetota; Actinomycetes; Mycobacteriales; Nocardiaceae
Description: bacterial SSU rRNA
Rfam family: Bacterial small subunit ribosomal RNA
Source: RNAcentral